Non-coding RNA from Salmo salar (Atlantic salmon), 54 nucleotides. The record is from Rfam. NCBI's taxonomy places the organism in Eukaryota, Metazoa, Chordata, Actinopteri, Salmoniformes, Salmonidae.
UGCAUUCACUACUGUAAGUCGCCCUGGAUAAGAGCGUCUGCUAAAUGACUAAAA